GGAGUGGCUGCAAAUACAGAUGAAGCUUCGUUUGCUCACUUCCUGUUGUGUGGCCCAGACAGGGCACUGUCUGUGGCCCCAGGGGUUGAGGACCCCUGGCUUUAACAACAGAAAGGUACCAUCUUACAGUUCUGGAGGCCAAAGUCUGAUAUCCAGGUGUCUGCAGGGUUGAUCCCUUCUGAGGCUACCCCAGUUACUGGAUUGGGAUCCACCCUCACUCAAUAUGGCCUCAGCUUAAUGAAAGACAUCUGCAGAGACCCUAUUUCUACUAAAAGCCACAUUCUGAGACUUCUCGUGGGCGUGAGUUUUUGAGAGACACUGUUCUGCUCCAUGCAGGGAGGGAAUUGGGAUCUGAAGACGUUGCAUUCGAGGUCUCGGGGCUCCUGAUGAGCAGCCUCGGCCUGACCUGGGGCAGGUGUGAUGUCUGCGGCUCACCAUCUCCACCCUGCCUGCUGUGGAAUCUCCACAACGACAGGUGCUUUGGAGGCCAGAGUGCAUGCGUACGGGCCCUGCACACGCUGAAUGUCACUGGGAACAAGGACACACCCCGCUUCCAGGAGAAGAUAGAACAUGUCGACCCCUUUUACCAUAUGACACAUUAUCAGACCAAACCAGAGCUCUUGGUUUUCGGAUCUGGGGAUGAAUUCUUUAGCACAGAUGGAACCAUGAACUUCUAUGAUCAACUGCCAGGAAGGAAAUACCUCAGAGCCAUCCCCAGUGCAGGACAUGCUAUUGACUUCCAUGAGACAAACACCUACUUGGAAAUCAGGUUUUUUCUGUACCUUUUGAAGGAGCAGGAAUUUCCCAGCAUUUCCUGGACAAAGACGGAGUCCAUCGUGGGACCCACACUUUUGUAAACCACGAUAAAGAUGAACUACCAGAAAAAUGAUGAAGCACUUAGACAACAUGGCAAAGUGAAGUGGCUGUCAGCGUUUCUACCCGCUCGCUCUCAAUUUCCACACUCAACGAGGCCCAGAACAGUCAGUUCCCGGACUGUCCCUGGAGCACAGGCCAGGCACCCUGGAUGAUUAACUGAGGGGUUCCAUGAGUAUUUCCUGAGCACUGUAUGCUGAGCGCUGUUGUAGCCCAUGGAACUAAACCUAGUACCCAAUAGUUACUUUUUCUAAGCCACUCUCUCCUUCCACCCACCACCUUCAAGUAGGCUGCAGUGUCUGUUGUCCCCCUCUUUGUGUCCAUGUGCCCUCAUUUAGCUCCCACUUAUAAGUGAAAAUGUGCAGCGUUUGCUUUUCUGUUCCUGAGUUAGUUUGCUAAGGAUAAUGGCCUCCAGCUCCACCCAUGUUUCUGCAAGGAACAUGAUCUCAUUCUUUUUUAUGGCUGCAUAGUAUUCCAUAGUGUAUAUGUAACACAUGUUCUUUAUCCAGUCUACCACUGAUGAGCACUGUGGUUGAUUCCAUGUCUUUGCUAUUGUGAAUAGUGCUGCAAUGGACAUAUGCGUGUAUGUGUCUUUACGGUAGAACAAUGUAUAUUCCUUUGGAUAUAUACCCAGUAACGGGAUUGCUAGGUUGAAUGGUAGUUCUGUUUUUAGCUCUUCGAGGAAUUGCCAUGCGGCUUUCCAUAAUGACUGAACUCAUUUACAUUCCCACCAACAGGGUAUAAGUGUUCCCCUUUCUCCACAACCUCACCAGCACCUGUUGUUUUUUGACUUUUCAAUAACAGCCAUUCUGACUGGUGUGAGAUGGUACCUCGUUGUGGUUUUGAUUUGCGUUUCUCUCUAAUGAUCAGUGAUGUUGAGCUUUUUUUCAUAUGCUUGUUGGCCACACGUACGUCUUCUUUUGAAAAGUAUCUGGAACUUUGCUUUUAAUGAGGGAUACAGACAAUAAAUUAACAUAAUAAAUAAGUAAAUUAAACAAUACUUUAGAGGGCGGUGCAUCCUAAGGAAAAACUAAAGCAGAGAAGAGGGAUGCCAAUGAUGAGUUGGUUUCUUUUUUCCUGUUGGAUGGGGGUGUUGCCAUCAGGGAUGAAAACAAAUGAAGUAAACCCAUCUAUUGAAAGGAA
Molecule: long non-coding RNA, 2016 nt
Organism: Homo sapiens (human)
Lineage: Eukaryota; Metazoa; Chordata; Mammalia; Primates; Hominidae
Gene: SCAT1
Product: S-phase cancer associated transcript 1
Source: Ensembl